This 774-nucleotide ribosomal RNA is filed under the name uncultured Neocallimastigales. Its description in RNAcentral is "partial large subunit ribosomal RNA". It matches the Rfam family "Eukaryotic large subunit ribosomal RNA", at positions 23 to 642 of the family's 3401-position model. Lineage: Eukaryota; Fungi; Neocallimastigomycota; Neocallimastigomycetes; Neocallimastigales. The record is from RNAcentral.
AGAAGAGACAUGCGCGCAUAUCAAUAAGCGGAGGAAAAGAAACUAACAAGGAUUCCCUUAGUAACGGCGAGUGAAGCGGGAAGAGCUCAAAUUUGAAAUCUUCAAGGUUCUACCUUGACGGAAUUGUAGUUUAUAGAAGUGUUUUCUGUUAGUGGAGUGGCAAAAGUUCUUUGGAAUAGGACAUCAUAGAGGGUGAGAAUCCCGUAUUUGGUCAUUCCUCCUAGCGUUGUGAUACACUUUCAACGAGUCGGAUUGUUUGGGAAUGCAGUCCAAAAUGGGUGGUAAAUUUCAUCUAAAGCUAAAUAUUGGCGAGAGACCGAUAGCGAACAAGUACCGUGAGGGAAAGAUGAAAAGAACUUUGAAAAGAGAGUUAAACAGUACGUGAAAUUGUCAAAAGGGAAGCGUUUGACACCAGUGUUGUUUUUCCGAAAAUCAAUUACGAAUGUUUUGUUUUUAAGAAGUUAUGACUUCAUCGGCUUGCUUCUUUCUUUACGAAACUUUCUUAAUGCACUUUUCGGUUAACAAGUCGACAUCAAUUUCUUUUGUUGUAAAAGGGUAUGAGGAAGGUGGCUUUCUUUUCGGAGAAAGUGUUUAUAGCCUUGUGCCUCUGCAAUCGGAGAGAUUGAGGUCUGCAGCGUAGAUCCUUCGGGGUUAGAUACAUUUGUGCUAAGUUAUAGCUUUUCAUAGACAACUUGUUGACUAUGUUUAGUCUUGUAGCUUACUCGCUUAUGCUAUUUUACCUACGCUUAGGAUGUUGAUAGUCACAGCGUGUAC